AGUCCAACGCCUCCCUCUUUCUUGCCAAUCCACCUCCCUGCCUCUCGUUCUAUUCCUACUCCUUUCUCCCUCCCCUGGUUGAGGGCCGGCACGAGCAAAGGAAUUUGGUUGGGAUUCUAACAUUCAAGUCCAUGGAUUCGGAUAUGGAGGUGUGCAAGUGUGUCUGUGUAUGGUUCUUCUAGCUAGUGCUUCAUGCAGGGUCUCGUUUCGUCAUCGGCUUGUGGGAUUUUGGCUGUGCUUUAAGCUGUUGUAAUCAAGCCAUGGAGACAGCUGAGCUAUCGCCGGUUGUCAUCUUACGUGAGGUACUCAAGCAUUUAAGCUUAGCGCAAGCAGUGUACGCUCAUACAUUUGUAGCGGAUACCCACCACAAAGCAUCUGUGCAUCUCCCUUUACCUGCCGAACUAACCGAAGAUCAAAGUGCCAUCUAUUGUGUAAUGGGGAACCUUAGCGAGACUUUACCAGGUGCGGAAAAAGACGCUGCACACCGUGCUCUUCUUUUCUUGCAGCAGAAAGCGAACCUUCAAGUACGUGACUACAGCUAUAUCUUAAUUACCAAGAUCAGACAAUUUUAGCUCAACGUCUUACCAUGGCGAAUGAAAUUCAAACAUUGCUCAAUGCUUGGGAGAAAAUGACUAUCCAGUUGCAUGCAUCAUCAAAGAAUGUUGAAGAUACAUUGUUAUCCUAUUUCUCUGUACACUCUACGGGGCCUGAGUGAAAUCCACACUAUGGUUUCUCAUAUAAAACAGCUGACACACUCUGUGCAAACUUCAUCUCACACCUCACUUGCGAAGGUGAAGCAGUUUGAGCGAGAAUACUCCUCUAUAGAUGUUUAUCUUCAGAUGAUAACUCUGUUGGUUGGCAAAAGCCAGAUCUUGAUCACAUGGCCGUAGUCGUCCUCUCUCCAAAGUUUAUGUUUAGUGACAUGAUGAUGGCAGCUCAGCUUCCUAUGCCAACAUACACUCGCACCGAGAUAUAUGAGGAUGAAUAUGCCAGCUGCAUCGAAUUUUUUCUCGAUAUAAAUUUAUUCAUCCAAGAUGGGCCACGACAGAAGAUAUGUGGCUUUGCACAAGCUUCACAGCAAGCUGCUGAAGAAACAGCUGCUCUCCAAGCGAUUACAUAUAUGGAAUCAGAAGCGCAUAUACAGCUCCGAGAUUUCAACUACGCUGAGAAGGAAAAUGCAUUAGAUGAGCAUAGAUCUUUGUUAAAGAAGACAAAGAAGCAGGUGAGGGCAAUGAAAAGGAUCUCUAAAGAUUGGAACACUAAAAUGAAUGAAUUUGCAGCAGCUUGUGAUCUGUUCAAUACUAAUGUUUCUUGCGAAGCAUUCUGCAAUUCUGAGGUGACUUUACAACCAGGUGUGUUGUCUGUUAUCAAGCAUAUGGAAUCAGUCAUGCAAGAAAUUUGCAAGUCUCUUCAAGAAGCAGCAGCCAUCUUCCAAGAGCAUGGUGUUUGCCCAUUUAGUGCAGCUGACGAAUAACCGGUUCACCAUCUCGUGGGUCAAUCCAGUUCCUACCACAUACAUAUGAAAUCUGUUUGGUAUCUUAUGCAUGUUUAGUUUCCUCAACUCGGUGCAAGACUUUGUAAUGGCACCUCAAUAUAAAUAGGUCGCUUGUUCACCGCUUGUACAAAACA
Long non-coding RNA from Phragmites australis (common reed), 1629 nucleotides. RefSeq lists it as uncharacterized. The record is from RefSeq and is a predicted model, not a curated record. Lineage: Eukaryota; Viridiplantae; Streptophyta; Magnoliopsida; Poales; Poaceae. The transcript is spliced from 4 exons.